RNAcentral lists this long non-coding RNA (265 nucleotides) under Salvia miltiorrhiza (redroot sage). Its description in RNAcentral is "long non-coding RNA (SMIL_LNC004443)". Lineage: Eukaryota; Viridiplantae; Streptophyta; Magnoliopsida; Lamiales; Lamiaceae. The record is from RNAcentral.
AGAAACACAUGCUCCAGGGUGGUGGUAUGAACAAGGCGCGAGUUCCUGCAUCUUCCAAGCUCAACACUGCACUAAUACCCCGAAAGAAAUAAAACAAAGAAAACAAAAGAAUAAAAAGAAACAAAAAGAACGAAAAACAAAAUAAAGAAGAAACGGUUGGGUUACCUCCCAACAAGUGCUUAAUUUAACGUCUAGAGCUCGACGAUACCUCAUGGCCUCAAUGAACAUCAAACGCAGCGGGUGUGACAGACCGCCCAACACGAAC